This 454-nucleotide unclassified non-coding RNA is filed under the name plant metagenome. RNAcentral's name for it is "partial contains small subunit ribosomal RNA, internal transcribed spacer 1, and 5.8S ribosomal RNA". The stretch from base 411 to 454 matches the Rfam family "5.8S ribosomal RNA", at positions 1 to 44 of the family's 154-position model. The record is from RNAcentral.
UUUCCGUAGGUGAACCUGCGGAAGGAUCAUUGCACACACGAUGCAGCAAACUAGCGAACUGUGUUUGUCCCCCACCUACCCCAAACACGAGGGGCCGCAUCUGGAGGUGCGGCUGUCGACGGCAAGGUCCCGACCUUCGGGUCCCCGCAGUGGUUCCCGCAAGCGGGCUGAUCAUGUCGCCGUCUGGGUGUCCCGCGCGGGCUCUCGCCUUGCCUUAGGGUUGGGCGACGCGGGCAUUCUCCUCCCUUCGAUGGAGUCGUCCCCUCCUCCGGGAGGGCGACACGCCUCGAGGGCCGUUUACAACGUUGCACCCUGUACAACACCAGUGACUGGGUAUCCCUGUGUCCCGGUUCCGCUGCUGCCCUCGGGCGGGGCGGGAUUGGUCCAUAGGAACAAGAGUAAAUAAAAACAACUCUCAGCAACGGAUAUCUUGGCUCUUGCAUCGAUGAGGAAC